UGGGGAAUUUUGGACAAUGGGCGAAAGCCUGAUCCAGCAAUGCCGCGUGCAGGAUGAAGGCCUUCGGGUUGUAAACUGCUUUUGUACGGAAUGAAAAAGCUUCUCCUAAUACGAGAGGCCCAUGACGGUACCGUAAGAAUAAGCACCGGCUAACUACGUGCCAGCAGCCGCGGUAAUACGUAGGGUGCGAGCGUUAAUCGGAAUUACUGGGCGUAAAGCGUGCGCAGGCGGUUAUGUAGGACAGAUGUGAAAUCCCCGGGCUCAACCUGGGAACUGCAUUUGUGACUGCAUGGCUAGAGUACGGUAGAGGGGGAUGGAAUUCCGCGUGUAGCAGUGAAAUGCGUAGACAUGCGGAGGAACACCGAUGGCGAAGGCAAUCCCCUGGACCUGUACUGACGCUCAUGCACGAAAGCGUGGGGAGCAAACAGGAUUAGAUACCCUGGUAGUCCACGCCCUAAACGAUGUCAACUGGUUGUUGGGAAUUAGUUUUCUCAGUAACGAAGCUAACGCGUGAAGUUGACCGCCUGGGGAGUACGGCCGCAAGGUUG
This 548-nucleotide ribosomal RNA is filed under the name uncultured bacterium. Its description in RNAcentral is "bacterial SSU rRNA". It matches the Rfam family "Bacterial small subunit ribosomal RNA", at positions 355 to 896 of the family's 1533-position model. The record is from RNAcentral.